AAGUGCGGGUGCUAUAAUGCAAGUCGAGCGGACAGAUGGGAGCUUGCUCCCUGAUGUUAGCGGCGGACGGGUGAGUAACACGUGGGUAACCUGCCUGUAAGACUGGGAUAACUCCGGGAAACCGGGGCUAAUACCGGAUGGUUGUUUGAACCGCAUGGUUCAAACAUAAAAGGUGGCUUCGGCUACCACUUACAGAUGGACCCGCGGCGCAUUAGCUAGUUGGUGAGGUAACGGCUCACCAAGGCAACGAUGCGUAGCCGACCUGAGAGGGUGAUCGGCCACACUGGGACUGAGACACGGCCCAGACUCCUACGGGAGGCAGCAGUAGGGAAUCUUCCGCAAUGGACGAAAGUCUGACGGAGCAACGCCGCGUGAGUGAUGAAGGUUUUCGGAUCGUAAAGCUCUGUUGUUAGGGAAGAACAAGUACCGUUCGAAUAGGGCGGUACCUUGACGGUACCUAACCAGAAAGCCACGGCUAACUACGUGCCAGCAGCCGCGGUAAUACGUAGGUGGCAAGCGUUGUCCGGGAAUUAUUGGGCGUAAAGGGCUCGCAGGCGGUUUCUUAAGUCUGAUGUGAAAGCCCCCGGCUCAACCGGGGAGGGUCAUUGGAAACUGGGGAACUUGAGUGCAGAAGAGGAGAGUGGAAUUCCACGUGUAGCGGUGAAAUGCGUAGAGAUGUGGAGGAACACCAGUGGCGAAGGCGACUCUCUGGUCUGUAACUGACGCUGAGGAGCGAAAGCGUGGGGAGCGAACAGGAUUAGAUACCCUGGUAGUCCACGCCGUAAACGAUGAGUGCUAAGUGUUAGGGGGUUUCCGCCCCUUAGUGCUGCAGCUAACGCAUUAAGCACUCCGCCUGGGGAGUACGGUCGCAAGACUGAAACUCAAAGGAAUUGACGGGGGCCCGCACAAGCGGUGGAGCAUGUGGUUUAAUUUCGAAGCAACGCGAAGAACCUUACCAGGUCUUGACAUCCUCUGACAAUCCUAGAGAUAGGACGUCCCCUUCGGGGGCAGAGUGACAGGUGGUGCAUGGUUGUCGUCAGCUCGUGUCGUGAGAUGUUGGGUUAAGUCCCGCAACGAGCGCAACCCUUGAUCUUAGUUGCCAGCAUUCAGUUGGGCACUCUAAGGUGACUGCCGGUGACAAACCGGAGGAAGGUGGGGAUGACGUCAAAUCAUCAUGCCCCUUAUGACCUGGGCUACACACGUGCUACAAUGGACAGAACAAAGGGCAGCGAAACCGCGAGGUUAAGCCAAUCCCACAAAUCUGUUCUCAGUUCGGAUCGCAGUCUGCAACUCGACUGCGUGAAGCUGGAAUCGCUAGUAAUCGCGGAUCAGCAUGCCGCGGUGAAUACGUUCCCGGGCCUUGUACACACCGCCCGUCACACCACGAGAGUUUGUAACACCCGAAGUCGG
This 1410-nucleotide ribosomal RNA is filed under the name Bacillus sp. (in: firmicutes). RNAcentral describes it as "bacterial SSU rRNA". It matches the Rfam family "Bacterial small subunit ribosomal RNA". Lineage: Bacteria; Bacillati; Bacillota; Bacilli; Caryophanales; Bacillaceae. The record is from RNAcentral.